This 658-nucleotide small RNA is filed under the name Pan troglodytes (chimpanzee). RNAcentral describes it as "retained intron". The record is from RNAcentral. Lineage: Eukaryota; Metazoa; Chordata; Mammalia; Primates; Hominidae.
UUAAAGGUAGCUCACCACAAGACAGUCUUCCUAUCUGAAAUCAGCAUUGCAGUCCCAGCCAUUUCCUGAAGCUACCACCCUCACUUUCUCCCCAACUCUGAAAUGCUUUUCACUCUCUACCUAGGCUGAAGCCGACGUAGCUUCUCUGAACAGACGCAUCCAGCUGGUUGAGGAAGAGUUGGAUCGUGCCCAGGAGCGUCUGGCAACAGCUUUGCAGAAGCUGGAGGAAGCUGAGAAGGCAGCAGAUGAGAGUGAGAGAGGCAUGAAAGUCAUUGAGAGUCGAGCCCAAAAAGAUGAAGAAAAAAUGGAAAUUCAGGAGAUCCAACUGAAAGAGGCCAAGCACAUUGCUGAAGAUGCCGACCGCAAAUAUGAAGAGGUCAGAUCCUGGGGCCCAAAGCCUUGUGGACUCCCAGCAGUGGCCUUCAGGAAGCCGGGGAGCAAUGCACAGUCUUGAUUCCCGAGUGAGGCCAUCUGCUUUGUUGGCAGAAAUGGGUGGUUUUGAGAAGCAGAGUUCCUUUGUGUCCAGAAAACGGUUCUAAUUUUAAUCCUGCUAGGGGAUCCCAGGCUUUUUCAGGAAGCCGAUCAGUAGCACUGGGAAGAAGGACCAAAACUCCUCUCCCCCAACCACAAAGACCUGGACAAAAGAUCUUUGGCCGGA